AUGAUACUCCCUCCGUUCCAUAAUUUUUCUCUCAAAUUUGCCCAAAUUUGGAUGUAUCUAUUUUUAAAAAACGUCUAGAUACAUGUAAUAUUUCGACAAGAAUUAUGGAACGGAGGUAGUAAAAA
Molecule: non-coding RNA, 125 nt
Organism: Brachypodium distachyon (stiff brome)
Lineage: Eukaryota; Viridiplantae; Streptophyta; Magnoliopsida; Poales; Poaceae
Source: Rfam